GAAAGCAUGACGGAUGGACUCUUCUCUGAAAAAACUGACACGAGUUGAUUGAUGCCAGAAAAGAUGAAGACAUCACUGAGGAGUCCAGGGUCUUCUUUUUAGAUAAGUCUCAUCGUCUUCAAGAAGCGGUUGUUGAUAGUGACGUACCAUCAGUUAACAUUAGGGGAACCAUUGACCCUGCUCCUAUACAAGUAUCAGAUCAGACUCCAAUGAAAACUGUAGUUGAGUUAUUUGGGAAGAUGGGACUCAGGCAAGCUUUUGUAUCACGCAAUGGUCGUCUGUUGGGUAUAGUUACAAAGAAGGAUAUGUUGCGUCAUGUUUCAUCAAUGGAGAAGAACCCUUACUCCAUACAGUAUCAUUAACAUUGCUAUACAUAUACUGUACAUGUAUAUAUAUAUUUAUUAUAAAUAA
Amphimedon queenslandica is the source of this 411-nucleotide long non-coding RNA. RefSeq lists it as uncharacterized. The record is from RefSeq and is a predicted model, not a curated record. Lineage: Eukaryota; Metazoa; Porifera; Demospongiae; Haplosclerida; Niphatidae. The transcript has 4 exons.